GGUUCCCUAUGAACAGGGGAAGGGGGACCUUCCGGAGCAGAUGCUUUCCUCCCAUCCACAAUGGGUGGUUGUCUUUUUCUUGGAUGGAAUCUGUACUACUCAGCGGGAGAGCCUCCAUGAAGCAUGAGCAACACAAGUUCUGUGAUCCCAUUUCUGCAGUGUCUUCAUGAUUGUCAGGGGACAAAACCUUCUUAAUGAGUAUGCUUAGGGCAGCCUGCUUGGUCUGAUACUGGCUCUCAAGGACGAGGUCAGGCAGACGGAACAAGGACACUGCCCACAGGCUGCAGUGUGUGGGAAGGGGGGCGGGUGGAGACCGGAGGAGAGAAGAGGCUGAAAGCUAGCUCUAGUUCUGUGCCAGGAAAUGCGUGGUCUUCUUUGGUCCUAACCCCCACAGCAACCUGGCUAGGUAAUUAUUGCUAUUUUCUUUUUACAAAAGGUGAAACUGAGUCUCUGCCUGGCUUUAAAGUCCUUGCUGUUUCAUGUAUACACUUCUCUCACAUGGAAGGAAGAGUUCAAUUGCCAAGCUGGAAAGAGGUGGUGAUGCUCAGUGGAGAGUGCCUGGUUUCUAGCCCCAACCACGUGACUUCAGCAGGUGCUCCCCCCCAACCCAUCCCCAUGCAAAGAUCUGGGUUCCAGCUCCAACACUGCCACCAGAUGGCCAACUGUUCUUAGGCCAGUGGUCUAACCUCUCUGGGCUUCAGCUUCAUCAUCCCUUGUUAGAUGUGCUCUGCCUACCUCACGGGACUGGACUGCUGAGUGGAACAAAUGAGGGUUAUGAGACACAGCUCUUUCACUGGGGUGGACAUACCAUGAGAAGGUGGUGGAGGCAACUUGUGUUAAUAAGGUCCGGCUCCAGGUUCAGACUCUAACCUGUGACUUGAGAGCCCAUGAGGUGUGUUCUCCUACCACAUAGUGGAUUUGUUAGGAAGUGACUACCAGUCAUGGACUAACCCAAGGCCUUUUUUAUCAAGGCUUGUUUGCUGUGAUGAAACAGCUGCUGUGUUGUGAACUGCCCCAAGGAAAGGAGGGCAAUGGAACUGAGGGAGACCUCCACCAGCAGGCUUAGAGGACCUGAAUCCUGCCAACACCCACUGGAGUGACCUUGAAAGUGGAUUCUCUCCAAGUUAAGCCUUGAGAUGGUUCAAACACCUUGACUGCAGCCUUAUGAGAAGUCCUGAGUCAGAGGAUCCAGUUCAGCCACUGCCCACAGACUCCUGACUCACACUGCACUUGGGAGAGAAAUAAGUUUGAGUGGAAUCUGAAGAUCUUUUCACUGCCCUUCAUGCUGUAUCAUAUAAGCAAAGCUUCCAAGUCACACAGUGAGACCCAGGAGGCAGGAGCCAAUAAAAUCUUAAAAACACCCGAGGACCAGGCCCACACAUUCCAAAUGCUUCUUAGGACUCUUUGCCCCUCAUGGCCUUGCCGUGUGACCUGCUGCCAACACCACAGAGUAGCUGUCCUGGGAGCAACACUCACAAAGAAGCAUGGCAUUGUUUUAGUCCAUGGUGUUGGAGAGAAGAAAAAAGUGAAAUUGACAAGAAAAAUAAUCAAUACAUAAAAUUAAUGUCAAAUUUUUUAAAUGCCCUUAUUUCUUUGGUAUUAACCUACACUUGGAUUCCCUUUCACUUGCAUUGUUUGUCCUGAGCUUAAAAUACAUGUAUGGACUAAUGUGCAAGGUACCUCGCCAGAAAUAGCAGAUUCCCAUCUCACUUAUGCAUGGUAUGAACUAAUACAAUGAUUUAGUGUGUGGUAUGUAAAAUUAAGCACUAAGAAGCUCUGAAACCAGAAGGGCAUGCACUGUUUUGAUGACUGCAAAUAAUGCCCUUUGAUUUCUUUUUUUUUUUUUUUAAUGUACUUGUUUUCAUUAUCAUUGCAUAUUGGAUUGUUAAGUUUUCAGACCCUGGACUACAUAUUUUACGGGCACUGUCACCUUUUAACUUUAAUACAUACAGCAAUUCUGACAGCGGGUGCUAUUGCUUCCAUUUUAGAGAUCAGAAAAUUAAGGCUUAUAGGAGUCAAGUUGCCAAAGUCACAAAGUUGGCACAUGGCGGACCUGGGAUUCAAACCCAGUCUUUUCUGAGUUCAAGCUCUCAGCUAAACCCCAAGCACUGUUUUGCCUACCAUGGAGGGUUAAACCAGCAGCCAAGGACAUCUCUUACACAUGUGUCCAGUCUUGUGUCAAAGGGGCAUGUGACCAGACCUGUCCCUACCCUUUGUAUGAGCACCUCCCACCCCCAGUCCUAAAAUGUUCUGCUUAACUGAGGUUUGAGUUACUGAAUGGGCAAACAGAUAAACCAGGAGGUAAUUAUUUAUAUAACCAGCAAAAUAAUCUUUCAAAAUAGAAUAUCAUUAGUCCUUUGAGUAGUUUAUUGAUGACUCAUGAUUCUUAAAAUCUCUGAUAGGAAAGGAAUUUAGAAGUUCAUCUGAUGCAAACUUCCUUGACUACUGAAUUGAGAUGCCAUGAAACUUAAACUAAAAGAGUCUAUUGGAGUGAAAUUGUGGAUAAUCAUGGAUAUCAUCUCUAAGAUGAUAAUGUGAAUGUGAAUAGGAAGGAAGAGUUCACUGGACUCAAUCUGAUUAUUUAUUUUUCAAGUAUUUUUAUAUCCAAUUUUGGGAAUAAAUAAUUUUAUCCAAAUCUUCCUCUCCCUCUUUUCCAUAAUCCAAAUUCUGUCCAUUCUUCAAGUCCUAAUUUAAUUGUAAGUUUUUUCAUGGAAAUUCCUCAAUGGUGGGACAGCUAUUUUUCCUUCUGGACUUCCAUUUUUCUCAGUCUUGUUUAUGUCACUUAGUGUUUGAUUUUCAGACUGCAUUCUAAUAGUUUCAUCAUUCUAACUGAUUGAGUGAAGGACAUAGAAAGUGUAUAUUCAGUUUCUUGCUUCCCCAGAAGCCCCUCACUUAGGGAUUGACUUUGUAGCAGGUGCUUUCAGGGCCCCGCCCUACUCUUUGGACCCUUCAGUGGGCUCCAGCUAACUUAAAAAUGUCAGUAUCUGCCUUUGUGUGCCUGAAGGGUCCCCUUCCUUCACCCUCAGUAGGGGAAAGCUUGCUCUUUGGAUAUAUGGCAGGCCAGAGUUUCAAAGAGUUACCACCCUCUAGCAAUAGCCCUCAAACUAAUGAAGCUCUUAAGUUGGUAUAUAAACACCCCAGCUCCCUCACUCCUUGAAGGGGUUCUGAAUCAUGUGCUUUGCACCAUUUCCCAGAGUUUUCUUGAGAGGUAGGCUCCAGCGGUCCAUAGCAGUAGCUGGCUAAAAAAGUCAUGUGCCCUUUAUUUAUUGCAUUUUCUCCUUGUGUUACCUGCAGUGCUCAAGUAGAUAGUUUACACUCACAUCAGGAUCUGCUUCUGGGGAACUCAAACCAAGACAGGUAUAGAGGAUAUUGUCAAUAUUGACUUAUUGGUUGGAUGAUUAGCUGACUGUCAGUGUUUUUCCUUGCAGGUACAGGGAUUGUGCGUUUUUUUUCGGAAGCCAUGGUGCUUUUCUGCCCAGUGGUACUCAUUCAUUCCUAGUUGAAUGGAACAAUGAUGAGGGCAAGGAUUCCCACCCCAGGUUCAUCUAGCUCUGUUCACUACUCUGUAUUUGUGAUCUAUUACUGACUUCGGUAAGUAGCAAAGAGCCCAGGGGAAUUAUGUCAAACCUCUAUUCCCUCUCUCCCAUCCCUGCUGCUACCAGCUGCAUGCAAUUCUCAUGUUUUAUUGUCUUUACAUUGAUUACCUUCUGACAAGGCCAGGAAGAAAUGCUGACCCUUGGUUACAACUAAGCAAAGGCCCCUUCCCUUUGGAAACACAAAAAAGAAUGAGAAAAUGAACAACAGAAAGAUGUUUCCUAACAGGGCCAUGUCAAAUUUAUAGAUAAAUAAAAUAUCAAAGAUCAAAUGAGGCUAGAUCAGCAGUUUGGAUCUCUCCCCAACCAAGCAGAGAAUAUGCUGUCGACUCCGUCUUGGACUGAUUUCCAACUUUGUGUUUCACAGCUGUAGCCAGGCAGAGUACGUCCAAUAAUGCUAUUUGUUUUCCACUUAAAAAAAAAAAAAAAAGGCUGGG
This is a long non-coding RNA of Herpailurus yagouaroundi (jaguarundi), 4030 nucleotides long. RefSeq lists it as uncharacterized. The transcript has 8 exons. NCBI's taxonomy places the organism in Eukaryota, Metazoa, Chordata, Mammalia, Carnivora, Felidae. The record is from RefSeq and is a predicted model, not a curated record.